This 433-nucleotide ribosomal RNA is filed under the name uncultured bacterium. Its description in RNAcentral is "partial 16S ribosomal RNA". It matches the Rfam family "Bacterial small subunit ribosomal RNA", at positions 29 to 507 of the family's 1533-position model. The record is from RNAcentral.
AACGAACGCUGGCGGCAUGCCUAACACAUGCAAGUCGAACGAGACCUUCUGGUCUAGUGGCGCACGGGUGCGUAACGCGUGGGAACCUGCCCUUAGGUUCGGAAUAACUCCCCGAAAGGGGUGCUAAUACCGGAUAAUGUCUUCGGACCAAAGAUUUAUCGCCUUUGGAUGGGCCCGCGUUGGAUUAGCUAGUUGGUAGGGUAAAAGCCUACCAAGGCGACGAUCCAUAGCUGGUCUGAGAGGAUGAUCAGCCACACUGGGACUGAGACACGGCCCAGACUCCUACGGGAAGCAGCAGUGGGGAAUAUUGGACAAUGGGCGAAAGCCUGAUCCAGCAAUGCCGCGUGAGUGAUGAAGGCCUUAGGGUUGUAAAGCUCUUUUACCCGGGAUGAUAAUGACAGUACCGGGAGAAUAAGCUCCGGCUAACUCCGUG